GGUGACCCAGAGGCCACUUUGACCACCCUCUCCUGGCCCAGAGCUAUUCCCUGUGCUGCAGAAGCACCUGUGCAGCCCCUGCUGGGAGGUGAGGGACUCGGCGCUAGAGUUCCUGACGCACCUGAGUAUGUGCUGGGGAGGGGAGGCCAACUUCAGGGGAGGUGCUCCUUGCUUCUGAUGUACCCAAGCUCGCCUGGCAACUCCUGCGAGACCCUGAGAGCUACGUCCGUGCAAGCGCAGUGACCGCCAUGGGGCAGCUUUCCAGCCAAGGCCUCCAGGCUGCCUCCGAUAGCCCUGGGCAUCCAGAGGUCCAGCAGGGCCUGGUUGGGGAGCUCCUGCAUAUCCUGUCCGUGGACUCGGGAGGGGUUCCCGCGAAGGGCAGUCACCCGGGUCUUCACUGAGUGGCUGAGGAACAGCCAUGCUGAUGUGAUCCAGGACGCGGGUGGUUUGUGGCCACUGUGCUCCAGAUGGUGAGCCGGGACCUGGACUGGGAAGUCCGGGCCCAGGGCCUGGAGCUGGUGCAGGUGUUCCUGGCCCAGACACUGGGGCAGCCCAACCCCUCCUGUCCCUAUGCCGUGGCCCUCCCCAAGGUCACCCCACCCAGCCCACUCCCUGAGGUGCUGAGGACUCUCUGCCAGAUGCAGAUCUUUGACUUUGCCUUUCGGUGCUUUGUUUGACUGUGAUCGACCUGUGGCACAAAAGGCUUGUGACCUCCUCCUCUUUCUGAGGGACAAGAGUGCUCCCUGCAGUGGCCUGCAGGAGGCUGGGGACAGCUCUGAUGUGGCCUCUGUGGAGGCCACCCUGGAGAGGUGGCAGGUGGGUGAGCAGGGCCAGCCCCUGGGGAGCCUAGAGCCCGAGGUGGUGCUGGCUGCCUUGAGGUCCAUGGACCUGGAGGGCCUCCAGAGCAGGCUGGCCGAGAGCAGCGACCACGUGGAGAAGAGCCCCCAGUCGCUCUUGCAAGAUGUCCUGGCCACAGUGGCCCUGCUGGAGGAGAAUGUGGCCGACUGCUACUGAGGCCACGUGCCUGUGGGCUCCAAGCAGGACUGGCUGCACAAGUACCAGAUUAGAAAACCCCACAUUUUGAUGAAUUAUUAAAAGAAAUAGCUCAUUUUCUACAUAAAACAUUCCAGGUCAAUUUUGCCUUUGGGUUAAGCCCAGGCUCUGGUUCUGUUCUUCUGCACGUGGCUGUCAGGUGUCCCCCUUGCCAUUCACAGAGGAGCCCGCCUCCCCACCCCCCUGUGUGCUCUCUGCGCCUUGGUGGAUCCGUGACCCCUGGGAGAGGGCUCCUUCCUGGGCUCUGCCCGCCCCCUGCUGGAUGAGUCUGUCUUCAUGCCACACUGAUGGAGUUGCUCUAGCUCUGCAGUAGACAGUAACAUCAGGUAGUGUGAUGCCUACAGCUUCUGCUUUUCUUCCUCAGCAUUGGUUUAUUACUCGGGGUCUUUUGUAGUGCCAUAUGAACUUUGGGAUUGCUCUUUCUAUUGCUGUUGUAAUAUACGGUUUGAGAUUUUGGUAGAAAUGACAUUGAAUCUGUAGGAGACUUUGGGGAGUAUGACCAUUUUGACACCAUUGCUAGUCUCAACCCUAGAACUCAGGACAUUUUUAAUAUAUUUGGGUCAUUUUGGUUUCCUUCAUCCAUGUAUUAGCAUUUUCAGUGUGCAGGACUUUCACCUUCUUAAGUUUAUUCUUUACUUUAUUCUGUUUUCCUUUGUGUGUGUGUGUGUGUGUGUGUGUGUGUGUGUGUGUGUGUGUGUUACUGGGGAUUGAAACCAGGGGUGCUCUACCACUAGAUACAUCCUCAGCCUUUUUUUUGGGGGGGGGACUGGGGAUCGAACUCAGGUCUCUUGCACCUGCACAGCAGGCGGUGAAACCACUGAGCUAAAUGCCCGGCCCCAUCCCUUUUUAUUUUAAAACAGGAUCUUCCUAAGUUGGCCAGGCUGGGGUCAAACUUGGGAUCUUCCUGCCUCAGCUGCCUGAGUAGCUGGGGUUACAGACAUGCACCACCGUGUUCUUUUUUAUUCUAUUAUAAAUGGGAUAAUUUUUCUCUUGGUACUGGGGAUCGAACUCAGGACCUUGCACCUGCAAGGCAGGUGGCGGAAGCACUGAGCUAAAUCCCCAGCCCAGUUUUUCUUGAUUACAUAUUUUUAUUAUUAUUUCAGUUUUUAUUGGUACAUGUUUGCAGUACAUAAUGAUUUCAC
Molecule: long non-coding RNA, 2195 nt
Organism: Heterocephalus glaber (naked mole-rat)
Lineage: Eukaryota; Metazoa; Chordata; Mammalia; Rodentia; Bathyergidae
Source: Ensembl